Molecule: ribosomal RNA, 106 nt
Filed under: Pteropus alecto (black flying fox)
Lineage: Eukaryota; Metazoa; Chordata; Mammalia; Chiroptera; Pteropodidae
Source: RNAcentral
AUCUACGGCCAUGCUACCCUGAAUAAACUCAAUCCCAUCUGCUCUCGGAAGCUAAGCAGGGUCGGGCCUGGUUAGUACUUGGAUGGGAGACCACCUGGCGUAAAAA